UUUAUCCUACGGGGGGCAGCAGUGAGGAAUAUUGGUCAAUGGGCGCAAGCCUGAACCAGCCAAGUCGCGUGAGGGAAGACGGCCCUACGGGUUGUAAACCUCUUUUGCCGGGGAGCAAGCCUGAGCACGUGUGCCCAGGCGGAGAGUACCCGGAGAAAAAGCAUCGGCUAACUCCGUGCCAGCAGCCGCGGUAAUACGGAGGAUGCGAGCGUUAUCCGGAUUUAUUGGGUUUAAAGGGUGCGCAGGCGGAGGCGCAAGUCAGCGGUCAAAUUGCGGGGCUCAACCCCGUACUGCCGUUGAAACUG
RNAcentral lists this ribosomal RNA (305 nucleotides) under uncultured bacterium. RNAcentral describes it as "bacterial SSU rRNA". It matches the Rfam family "Bacterial small subunit ribosomal RNA", at positions 333 to 635 of the family's 1533-position model. The record is from RNAcentral.